GGCAAUCCAAUCUUCAAGGGAGUCUUGACUACUACAUUAAAUUUUAAGUCAAUUUAAGGUGGGUUUGGAUAGGCGAUUCAGUGCGGUGUGGUGCGUUUAGCUUACUUUUUCUCUCACGCUACAGUAUCUAAUCUCACCGCCACCGCUAUUUUUACACUAACCGCGGCUAAACGCACCGCCCAUCCAAACUCAUCCUUAGAGUGUAUCAAAG
This 211-nucleotide long non-coding RNA is filed under the name Gossypium barbadense (sea-island cotton). RNAcentral's name for it is "long non-coding RNA (GBAR_LNC016053)". Lineage: Eukaryota; Viridiplantae; Streptophyta; Magnoliopsida; Malvales; Malvaceae. The record is from RNAcentral.